Trachemys scripta elegans is the source of this 2238-nucleotide long non-coding RNA. RefSeq lists it as uncharacterized. Lineage: Eukaryota; Metazoa; Chordata; Testudines; Emydidae. The transcript is spliced from 5 exons. The record is from RefSeq and is a predicted model, not a curated record.
AUAAAGAGAAAGCUGCUCUGCGUUCAAGGUCAAGAAUCAACGCAGACUAUGCCAAGUACAAAGAAAACUGCUUUUGGCCCCAGCUGACUGAAAAAAAAAACCAAAGGCAAUACAAGUUACAGGACUUAGAUUACAUUUACAAAGCUUAACUAUCCAGUGAAAUCCAACAGUCUGCCUUUGCGACCCUGGAGCCCGCGUGGUUUGGGGACGCUGAAGAAGCCACAGGCAGCCGGCCUGGACUGGAAUCUCUGAAAAAGAUGCCCCAGGAGACCCCAGAGUGUAAAAGAACAGCUCUCCCAAGAGUGGAAGCAAGGUGGGAGAUUCUGGACAAGCCGUAUACAGGAUACUCUCCCGUACAUGCUCCCCCCCGGUUCUCUGGGGAUUAUACACAGACGUGGCCAGUCUGGACGCAUGUCAGUUGUUUUGGAUUUUAAAGUGCACUACCCAGGGAAAGCAGAGAUGAGGGGAUGAAGAUUCAAAUAUUCACAAAGGAGCCCAGGUGUCCAAUUCCAACAUUCUGCCACCGUUUGAGGAACCCUGGAGUAGAUGGUGCUGGCAGCCCCCUUAUACCUGACAGCUCAGUGGUCUGGACACUCCCCUGGAGAGGACGACCUGCUCCAGAGCAGGAAUUCAAGCCUGGAUCCCGCACAUCCCAGGACCAUAACUACAACAUUAAGCGAGGAGUUAUUGUAUGUGACUUUUAACUUGGAAGUUGGGGCAUGUCUACACUACAAAGAAUUCCCUCAGGAGUAAAAGGUGAAUGCCCAUCCCCCUUUAAAGACUCAAGAAGUUUUGAAAUUGCUUUUCCUGUUUGCUCGGCCCGGAGAGCAACUGACCAUGCCGGCUCCAUGCAGCGAACGCGCUCCUGCCUGGAGUACACGGGAGGUGGUGGAUCUCCUGGGUCUGGGAGGAGACGAGGCUGUGCAGGCACAGCUCUGCUCCAGCCGCAGCAACGUUGAUAUCUAUGGCCAGAUCGCUCAGGGCAUGGUGGAGAAGGGCUAUGACAGCGACAUGCUGCAGCACCGAGUACAAAUCAUGGCGUUGAGGAAAGUAUACCAGAAGCCAAGAGAGACAAAUAGCCACUCCGGUGCGGAGCCCCAGACAUGCCACUUCUACAUGGAGCUGUAUGUCAUCCUCAGUGGCAACCCCACCUCCACCGCCAAGAGCCCCGUCUGGAGUCACUGGCCACCAGAGUGAACCCAGAGGACGACGUGCUGGACAAGGAAGUGGAGGCAGAGGAGGAUGGGGGAAGGCAACAGGGAGAUCCAGUGGUGUGGGGAGCCAGGAUCUCUUUUUGUCUCCUGAGCAUUCUAGCCCGUCCCAGCAGUCAAGCUCUCGUGAGCCUGAUGCAGGGGAAGGAACCUCUGGUAAGUUCUCUGCUUGACUACUGCAGGGACACAUCGGGUCAUGGACUGCUCUUGUAAUCGGGCUACAAGAGGCAGUGAAAUAAUCAACACAGGUACAGAUGCUCUCUUCUUCUCACUUCCCUGUACAGCGAGGCAGAGGGAGCCCUGUGGAAAGGUUUGUUUAUGCACACCUGGCUGUCCCGUGACUCCUCCAUAGAGAUCUCUAGGAAACUUUCCUGGAGGUAGUCUGCAAUUCUCUGCUGAAGGUUUCUUGGGAAGGCGGCUUUGUUUCUCCCCCGGUGGUAGGAAACUUUGCCAUGUCACUCGGCAAUUACUUCAGCAAGCACCAUAGCAGCACACAGGGCAGCAGCAUAUGGUCCUGGUCUGCAACCACAGGCAUACAGGAGCUGGACCCUUGCUGCCUCAGUUAACUUCAGGAGUGAGAAAUCAGCUGCAAUCAACCCCGCCUGUGAAAAGCAGUGCCAGGAUUCAGUACAGUAGCCCUUUGCGCUGGUACUGAUACCCAAUGGCUGUGCACCCUUUGUCCCAACUUACCCCCUCCUCCCUGGGGCUACCGCCGCGCUGUGUGGGCAUCAAGGGAAAGUGAGAAAGAUGUGCUUGUUACUUGUUUGGAUCAAGGGUGUAUGUGCACUGACAACACCACCUCCGUCUAUUGUUUCUUUAGCAGCUAAAGUACCCCAGGCACUCCACCCUGUGGGGCAUUUCGCACAAUGACAGCUGAACAUACACCCAGCUCGGAGAUCCUCACUGGCAAACCUGCUUGUGAAUUUCCUGUUCCUCCCCCUUUAAAGAUACUUUCCCCUGUAUGUAUGAAAUCUAGGUUACCAAUACAUAAAUAUGUUUGCAUGGGUGUGGAAUAAAACUGAACUUA